GACGAACGCUGGCGGCGUGCUUAACACAUGCAAGUCGAACGGUAAGGCUCCAGCUUGCUGGGGUACACGAGUGGCGAACGGGUGAGUAACACGUGGGUGACCUGCCCUGCACUUCGGGAUAAGCCUGGGAAACUGGGUCUAAUACCGGAUAGGACCAUGGUGUGGAUACUGUGGUGGAAAGUUUUUUCGGUGUGGGAUGGGCGCGCGGCCUAUCAGCUUGUUGGAGGGGUAAUGGCCUACCAAGGCGGCGGCGGGUAGCCGGCCUGCGCAGGUGGACGGCCACAUUGGGACUGAGACACGGCCCAGACUCCUACGGGAGGCAGCAGUGGGGAAUAUUGCACAAUGGGCGGAAGCCUGAUGCAGCGACGCCGCGUGGGGGAUGACGGCCUUCGGGUUGUAAACUCCUUUCACCAUCGACGAAGGGUUUCUGACGGUAGAUGGAGAAGAAGCACCGGCUAACUACGUG
This 466-nucleotide ribosomal RNA is filed under the name uncultured bacterium. RNAcentral describes it as "partial 16S ribosomal RNA". It matches the Rfam family "Bacterial small subunit ribosomal RNA", at positions 28 to 507 of the family's 1533-position model. The record is from RNAcentral.